Molecule: ribosomal RNA, 439 nt
Filed under: uncultured bacterium
Lineage: Bacteria
Description: partial 16S ribosomal RNA
Rfam family: Bacterial small subunit ribosomal RNA
Source: RNAcentral
CCUCGGGAGGCAGCAGUGGGGAAUAUUGCACAAUGGGGGGAACCCUGAUGCAGCGACGCCGCGUGAGUGAAGAAGUAUUUCGGUAUGUAAAGCUCUAUCAGCAGGGAAGAAAAUGACGGUACCUGACUAAGAAGCCCCGGCUAACUACGUGCCAGCAGCCGCGGUAAUACGUAGGGGGCAAGCGUUAUCCGGAUUUACUGGGUGUAAAGGGAGCGCAGACGGCUGUGCAAGUCUGGAGUGAAAGGCGGGGGCCCAACCCCCGGACUGCUCUGGAAACUGUAAAGCUGGAGUGCAGGAGAGGUGAGCGGAAUUCCUAGUGUAGCGGUGAAAUGCGUAGAUAUUAGGAGGAACACCAGUGGCGAAGGCGGCUUACUAAACUGCCACUGACAUUGAUGCUCGAAAGUGUGGGUAUCAAACAGGAUUAGAUACCCUUGUAGUC